UCUAUGUUCUUUAGACAUAUCAAGGUUAAAGUGACCGGUAUGACCGAGUAAAGUUUGUUGCAAAAUAGAGGCUUUACAGGGUCUUAUAUCUGGGAGGUCCGCUGCUCCGAGGAGUGUAGCUUGAGGCCGACCUUUGAUUUUGGGCUUGUCAAAUUUCUCUAUCUGAUGCUUCGGUGAGACGUUUUUUGCUCAUCGACAUUGAG
This 203-nucleotide long non-coding RNA is filed under the name Lathyrus oleraceus (garden pea). RNAcentral describes it as "Pisum sativum (pea) long non-coding RNA (PSAT_LNC025856)". Lineage: Eukaryota; Viridiplantae; Streptophyta; Magnoliopsida; Fabales; Fabaceae. The record is from RNAcentral.